ACGGGUGUGUAAUACAUCGGAACGUAUCCUGGAGUGGGGGAUAGCCCAGCGAAAGCCGGAUUAAUACCGCAUACGCUCUGAGGAGGAAAGCGGGGGACCUUCGGGCCUCGCGCUCAAGGGGCGGCCGAUGGCGGAUUAGGUAGUUGGUGGGGUAAAGGCCUACCAAGCCGACGAUCCGUAGCUGGUCUGAGAGGACGACCAGCCACACUGGGACUGAGACACGGCCCAGACUCCUACGGGAGGCAGCAGUGGGGAAUUUUGGACAAUGGGGGCAACCCUGAUCCAGCAAUGCCGCGUGUGUGAAGAAGGCCUUCGGGUUGUAAAGCACUUUUGUCCGGAAAGAAAUCAUCGGGGCCAAUACCCCUGGUGGAUGACGGUACCGGAAGAAUAAGCACCGGCUAACUACGUGCCAGCAGCCGCGGUAAUACGUAGGGUGCGAGCGUUAAUCGGAAUUACUGGGCGUAAAGCGUGCGCAGGCGGUGCUGUAAGACCGAUGUGAAAUCCCCGGGCUUAACCUGGGAACUGCAUUGGUGACUGCAGCGCUGGAGUAUGGCAGAGGGGGGGUGGAAUUCCACGU
Molecule: ribosomal RNA, 577 nt
Filed under: uncultured bacterium
Lineage: Bacteria
Description: bacterial SSU rRNA
Rfam family: Bacterial small subunit ribosomal RNA
Source: RNAcentral